UGGGGAAUAUUGGACAAUGGGCGAAAGCCUGAUCCAGCCAUGCCGCGUGUGUGAAGAAGGUCUUCGGAUUGUAAAGCACUUUAAGUUGGGAGGAAGGGCAGUAAGCGAAUACCUUGCUGUUUUGACGUUACCGACAGAAUAAGCACCGGCUAACUCUGUGCCAGCAGCCGCGGUAAAACAGAGGGUGCAAGCGUUAAUCGGAAUUACUGGGCGUAAAGCGCGCGUAGGUGGUUCGUUAAGUUGAAUGUGAAAGCCCCGGGCUCAACCUGGGAACUGCAUCCAAAACUGGCGAGCUAGAGUAGGGCAGAGGGUGGUGGAAUUUCCUGUGUAGCGGUGAAAUGCGUAGAUAUAGGAAGGAACACCAGUGGCGAAGGCGACCACCUGGGCUCAUACUGACACUGAGGUGCGAAAGCGUGGGGAGCAAACAGG
RNAcentral lists this ribosomal RNA (429 nucleotides) under Pseudomonadota bacterium. Its description in RNAcentral is "Proteobacteria bacterium partial 16S ribosomal RNA". It matches the Rfam family "Bacterial small subunit ribosomal RNA", at positions 355 to 776 of the family's 1533-position model. The record is from RNAcentral. Lineage: Bacteria; Pseudomonadati; Pseudomonadota.